Molecule: long non-coding RNA, 1003 nt
Filed under: Salmo salar (Atlantic salmon)
Lineage: Eukaryota; Metazoa; Chordata; Actinopteri; Salmoniformes; Salmonidae
Description: lncRNA (ENSSSAG00000084021.1)
Source: RNAcentral
AGGAAGGUUCUCCAGAGAACAACAGACAGUGGAAGGUUCUCCUCAGAACAACAGACAGAGGAAGGUUCUCCUCAGAACAACAGACAGAGGAAGGUUCUCCUCAGAACAACAGACAGAGGAAGGUUCUCCAGAGAACAACAGACAGAGGAAGGUUCUCCUCAGAACAACAGACAGAGGAAGGUUCUCCUCAGAACAACAGACAGAGGAAGGUUCUCCAGAGAACAACAGACAGAGGAAGGUUCUCCUCAGAACAACAGUCAGAGGAAGGUUCUCCAGAGAACAACAGACAGAGGAAGGUUCUCCUCAGAACAACAGACAGAGGAAGGUUCUCCUCAGAACAACAGACAGUGGAAGGUUCUCCAGAGAACAACAGACAGAGGAAGGUUCUCCUCAGAACAACAGUCAGAGGAAGGUUCUCCUCAGAACAACAGACAGAGGAAGGUUCUCCUCAGAACAACAGACAGAGGAAGGUUCUCCUCAGAACAACAGACAGAGGAAGGUUCUCAUCAGAACAACAGACAGAGGAAGGUUCUCCUCAGGACAACAGACAGAGGAAGGUUCUCCAGAGAACAACAGACAGAGGAAGGUUCUCAUCAGAACAACAGACAGAGGAAGGUUCUCCUCAGAACAACAGACAGAGGAAGGUUCUCCUCAGAACAACAGACACAGGAAGUGGUUUGAUUUUAAUUAAGGAAAGACACUAUCUGCAUCUCUUACUUUCUCUCUCUUUUUUUUUAAUAGAAAUCAUUUUUUGCACAAUAUGAAAAAAUGUUCCUCACAUCUAAGACGAACUAACAUGGUAAAGGAAGUAAAGAAAGGAAGGAGAAGCAUUCAGCAUGGUGGUGUAUAAAUGAGUCUGAUCAGUAAAGACAGACUUCAUCACAGUAGGCAAUGGGAUGGAGACUGGUCCAGGGUCCUUUGUCUUGGGAAUGUCCACGGUAUUUAGCUGUGGGGGAAAUGAGGGAUUGAUAUGAGUUUCAUUUGUUGUUUUGUGAAGUUAUAA